CGGCCAUCAGCUAGUUGGUAGGGUAACGGCCUACCAAGGCAACGACGGGUAGCUGGUCUGAGAGGAUGACCAGCCACACUGGAACUGAGACACGGUCCAGACUCCUACGGGAGGCAGCAGUGGGGAAUCUUGCGCAAUGGGCGAAAGCCUGACGCAGCGACGCCGCGUGGGUGACGAAGGCCUUCGGGUUGUAAAGCCCUGUGGGGGAGACGAACCGGGUCGUGGCUAAUAUCCACGGUCCUUGACGGUAUCCCUUUAGCAAGCAUCGGCUAACUCUGUGCCAGCAGCCGCGGUAAGACAGAGGAUGCAAACGUUGCUCGGAAUUACUGGGCGUAAAAGCGCGCGCAGGUGGUCCGGUAAGUCGGGUGUGAAAAUCCCGGGGCUCAACCUCGGAAGUGCACUCGAUACUGCUAGACUUGAGUACUGGAGAGGAGAGCGGAAUUCCCGGUGUAGAGGUGAAAUUCGUAGAUAUCGGGAG
RNAcentral lists this ribosomal RNA (478 nucleotides) under uncultured bacterium. RNAcentral's name for it is "bacterial SSU rRNA". It matches the Rfam family "Bacterial small subunit ribosomal RNA", at positions 234 to 703 of the family's 1533-position model. The record is from RNAcentral.